RNAcentral lists this transfer RNA (78 nucleotides) under Deltaproteobacteria bacterium. RNAcentral describes it as "tRNA-Pro". It matches the Rfam family "tRNA". From Rfam's summary of the family: Transfer RNA (tRNA) molecules are approximately 80 nucleotides in length. Their secondary structure includes four short double-helical elements and three loops (D, anti-codon, and T loops). The record is from RNAcentral. Lineage: Bacteria; Pseudomonadati; Myxococcota; Myxococcia.
CGGGGCGUGGCGCAGUCUGGCUAGCGCGGCUGCUUUGGGAGCAGUAGGACGGAGGUUCAAAUCCUCUCGCCCCGACCA